CUGGCUCAAUUACAAUGGGGAAAGAUAUCCUUCUCCAGCUAGCCUCGCCCCAUCCCCUCCCCCCCAACACAAAUUGAGCUUCUUUACCUGCCCGGUUAUUCCCCCUUAGCUCGAGCCAGAGCUUGAGGCAUGCAACGGUCAAAGCGAAUUUCCUGAGGUCUGUGGAUAAGGCGACUGCUGCUGCCUUUUGAGAGGCGUCAGGCUUGAGCGUCUAUCUCCAGGAGUGCGGGAGGGGAGAACAGGCAAAGGAGGGGAGCAGAAGGAGGAGGAGAGGGAAAGAGCUGGGAAGGAGGAGGCGGUCGUGGAGCCCGAGAAGGCUGGGUUACGUGACGUUGGGUGCUGUCCUUCUGAAAGAGAAGGGCGGAGCUGAGCUCUCCGCAGUACCAUGGAGAGCGGCGGGCCGUCCCCAGACUGGGAUACUGGUGGGCUCAGCCCGCCGGGCACAGCCCCUCCCGAUGGGGAUGCUGCGCAGUGAGCUUUCUGUGCUCUGCCCUGGCAUGGACAUCCGGAGCUGAACCAAGUUCUGUUCCUGUUUAACUCUUCGCUCUAUCUCCUCCUUCCUUUUGCAGCUGGUAAAACCUGGAGGAAGUGAAACUUGAUACAAGGCACUGACCAUAUCACUGGGCAUGCCCAGUAGGCAUUGCUGAGUUUGGUGACAAAGGAGUUAAAUCUAAAGGAAGCUUGCAAAAAUAGGUGGUAGAGAAGUCUGAGGUGUGUGGCUUAAUUAUAGUUUGAGUCCUAUGGACAUUUAAAUUUCUAACCCUAUUAUAUUCCUAGUCUGGGUUAGUUUUAGAGCAUAAAAAGCAGACAUAUUUAUUUCAGUACCACAAGCCUAAUAGCUUCAGCCUUAAAUAUUGUUAAGGUAAGACUAUUUUCUGCAUUUCGGCCCUAUAUAGCAAAACUGUAAGAAGUAGACAAAUUUAGGAGUACUAAAAUAAUAUACAUUCCUAAUCUGAUAUCCAUUUCCUGCCAAAGAAACCAGAACUCAUUCCUUUUGAUAAGCCUAUUUAUACUUUCACUGCUUGUCUAAGAGUCUAAAUAACUUGGAGACAGGAAUAAAUUAUAUUAUUUUUAUUGGGUUCA
This is a long non-coding RNA of Bos indicus x Bos taurus (hybrid cattle), 1083 nucleotides long. Lineage: Eukaryota; Metazoa; Chordata; Mammalia; Artiodactyla; Bovidae. The record is from Ensembl.